UACGGAGGAUCCAAGCGUUAUCCGGAUUUAUUGGGUUUAAAGGGUGCGUAGGCGGGGAAUUAAGUCAGUGGUGAAAGUUUGCAGCUCAACUGUAAAAUUGCCAUUGAAACUGAUUUUCUUGAGUGUAAAUGAGGUAGGCGGAAUGUGUUGUGUAGCGGUGAAAUGCUUAGAUAUAACACAGAACACCGAUUGCGAAGGCAGCUUACUGGGAUACAACUGACGCUGAUGCACGAAAGCGUGGGGAUCAAACAGG
RNAcentral lists this ribosomal RNA (253 nucleotides) under uncultured bacterium. RNAcentral describes it as "partial 16S ribosomal RNA". It matches the Rfam family "Bacterial small subunit ribosomal RNA", at positions 524 to 776 of the family's 1533-position model. The record is from RNAcentral.